RNAcentral lists this ribosomal RNA (543 nucleotides) under uncultured bacterium. Its description in RNAcentral is "partial 16S ribosomal RNA". It matches the Rfam family "Bacterial small subunit ribosomal RNA", at positions 355 to 891 of the family's 1533-position model. The record is from RNAcentral.
UGGGGAAUUUUGGACAAUUGGGCGAAAGCCUGAUCCAGCAAUGCCGCGUGUGUGAAGAAGGCCUUCGGGUUGUAAAGCACUUUUGUCCGGAAAGAAAUCCUUGGCUCUAAUACAGUCGGGGGAUGACGGUACCGGAAGAAUAAGCACCGGCUAACUACGUGCCAGCAGCCGCGGUAAUACGUAGGGUGCAAGCGUUAAUCGGAAUUACUGGGCGUAAAGCGUGCGCAGGCGGUUUGCUAAGACCGAUGUGAAAUCCCCGGGCUCAACCUGGGAACUGCAUUGGUGACUGGCAGGCUAGAGUAUGGCAGAGGGGGGUUAGAAUUCCACGUGUAGCAGUGAAAUGCGUAGAGAUGUGGAGGAAUACCGAUGGCGAAGGCAGCCCCCUGGGCCAAUACUGACGCUCAUGCACGAAAGCGUGGGGAGCAAACAGGAUUAGAUACCCUGGUAGUCACGCCCUAAACGAUGUCAACUAGUUGUUGGGGAUUCAUUUUCCUUAGUAACGUAGCUAACGCGUGAAGUUGACCGCUGGGGAGUACGUCGCAA